GAUGAACGCUGGCGGCGUGCCUAAUACAUGCAAGUCGAGCGAACAGACGAGGAGCUUGCUCCUCUGACGUUAGCGGCGGACGGGUGAGUAACACGUGGAUAACCUACCUAUAAGACUGGGAUAACUUCGGGAAACCGGAGCUAAUACCGGAUAAUAUAUUGAACCGCAUGGUUCAAUAGUGAAAGACGGUUUUGCUGUCACUUAUAGAUGGAUCCGCGCCGCAUUAGCUAGUUGGUAAGGUAACGGCUUACCAAGGCAACGAUGCGUAGCCGACCUGAGAGGGUGACCGGCCACACUGGAACUGAGACACGGUCCAGACUCCUACGGGAGGCAGCAGUAGGGAAUCUUCCACAAUGGGCGAAAGCCUGACGGAGCAACGCCGCGUGCGUGAUGAAGGUCUUCGGAUCGUAAAACUCUGUUAUUCGGGAAGAACAAAUGUGUAAGUAACUAUGCACGUAUUGACGGUACCUAAUCAGAAAGCCCCGGCUAACUACGUG
This 497-nucleotide ribosomal RNA is filed under the name uncultured bacterium. RNAcentral describes it as "partial 16S ribosomal RNA". It matches the Rfam family "Bacterial small subunit ribosomal RNA", at positions 28 to 507 of the family's 1533-position model. The record is from RNAcentral.